UAGCUGCAGUAAAUUAACUGUACUAAGGUAGCAUAAUAAAUUGCUUUUUAAUUAAAAGCUAGAAUGAAAGAUUAGAUGAAAAGCUAACUUAUUUUAAAAAUAAAAAGCAAAAUUUAAUUUCUAAGUUAAAAAUCUUAGAUAAAAUUUUAAAAGACAAGAAGACCCUUUAGAAUUUUAUGCACAAAGUUGACUAUACAAAUCACAAUGCAUUAAGUUGGGGAGACUGCAAAACACAAAUCUUUCGCUCACACUAAUCACUUAAAAGUGCAAAUUAAUUAUCCAUAAAUGAAAUAUACUAAAUUACCUAAGGGAUAACAGCGCAAAAUUUUUUGAAAGAUCUUAUUAAUAAAAUUUAUUGCGACCUCGAUGUUGGAUUAA
Molecule: ribosomal RNA, 378 nt
Filed under: Aleurocanthus cf. spiniferus
Lineage: Eukaryota; Metazoa; Arthropoda; Insecta; Hemiptera; Aleyrodidae
Description: partial large subunit ribosomal RNA
Source: RNAcentral